CGGGGUGUGGCUCAGUUUGGCUAGAGCGCCUGGUUUGGGACCAGGAGGUCGCAGGUUCAAAUCCUGUCACCCCGA
Molecule: transfer RNA, 75 nt
Filed under: [Clostridium] scindens
Lineage: Bacteria; Bacillati; Bacillota; Clostridia; Lachnospirales; Lachnospiraceae
Also listed under: 2 other names
Description: tRNA-Pro
Rfam family: tRNA
About the family: Transfer RNA (tRNA) molecules are approximately 80 nucleotides in length. Their secondary structure includes four short double-helical elements and three loops (D, anti-codon, and T loops).
Source: RNAcentral